Molecule: ribosomal RNA, 497 nt
Filed under: uncultured bacterium
Lineage: Bacteria
Description: partial 16S ribosomal RNA
Rfam family: Bacterial small subunit ribosomal RNA
Source: RNAcentral
GAUGAACGCUGGCGGCGUGCCUAAUGCAUGCAAGUCGAGCGAACAGACGAGGAGCUUGCUCCUCUGACGUUAGCGGCGGACGGGUGAGUAACACGUGGAUAACCUACCUAUAAGACUGGGAUAACUUCGGGAAACCGGAGCUAAUACCGGAUAAUAUAUUGAACCGCAUGGUUCAAUAGUGAAAGACGGUUUUGCUGUCACUUAUAGAUGGAUCCGCGCCGCAUUAGCUAGUUGGUAAGGUAACGGCUUACCAAGGCAACGAUGCGUAGCCGACCUGAGAGGGUGAUCGGCCACACUGGAACUGAGACACGGUCCAGACUCCUACGGGAGGCAGCAGUAGGGAAUCUUCCGCAAUGGGCGAAAGCCUGACGGAGCAACGCCGCGUGAGUGAUGAAGGUCUUCGGAUCGUAGAACUCUGUUAUUAGGGAAGAACAAAUGUGUAAGUAACUAUGCACGUCUUGACGGUACCUAAUCAGAAAGCCACGGCUAACUACGUG